Molecule: long non-coding RNA, 534 nt
Filed under: Mytilus galloprovincialis (Mediterranean mussel)
Lineage: Eukaryota; Metazoa; Mollusca; Bivalvia; Mytilida; Mytilidae
Source: RNAcentral
AUUUUAAAAUAACAUGCUUAUAAAAAGUACUGAAUAUAUUUUAUAGAAUUUAUGGAGUCCUUGGCGAUCUAAUUUUUCUAGUUUGUUUAUAAAUUUAACUCUUCCAUAAAAUUUUAUAAUAAAUAUACGUUAAAACAUAUAUUAUAUAUUAUACCGACCGAACGAGCCGUCCUGGCAUUAUACAUGUUUUAUAUAAAACAAGAAGACGAACGUACGCUUUUACCAACUUAUUCUGUUGGAGUCUGUGUAAUAUAUAUGUUUGUGGCAUAAGUGAAAUUAUGCUCAUAUCAAUAAGCUAUCGGCUAUACAGUAUGGUGUAUGUCUAUUGCCUAAAUGGUGUUAUGCAUAAGAUCCUAGGUGAUUUAAGACUCCGUCUGGAGCUUAAGUAAGUCCUCAACCUUUUCGAAGGUAACCAAUAUUUCUUUCGGAAUUUUGGUUUCUGAUGUUUAUUUAAAAAAUUAUAGUAAAGAAUAUCUCCCCUCUUUUAUUGGACACAGUCACUUUUCUAAAUAUUUUUAUUUUUUUGUUAUACCA